This is a non-coding RNA of Gossypium hirsutum (cotton), 107 nucleotides long. The record is from Rfam. Lineage: Eukaryota; Viridiplantae; Streptophyta; Magnoliopsida; Malvales; Malvaceae.
AUCUCGUGAUGAGGACACUUACGAAGUAACUCCUUGAAUCGCUUCCAAGCCUCAUAUAAAGACUCGUCAUGCAAUUUUUGGAAAGCUGUAAUCUCGUUCCUCAACUU